Molecule: ribosomal RNA, 440 nt
Filed under: uncultured bacterium
Lineage: Bacteria
Description: partial 16S ribosomal RNA
Rfam family: Bacterial small subunit ribosomal RNA
Source: RNAcentral
CCUACGGGUGGCUGCAGUGGGGAAUAUUGGACAAUGGGCGCAAGCCUGAUCCAGCCAUGCCGCGUGAGUGAUGAAGGCCCUAGGGUUGUAAAGCUCUUUUGCCAGAGACGAUAAUGACAGUACCUGGAUAAGAAGCGCCGGCUAACUUCGUGCCAGCAGCCGCGGUAAUACGAAGGGGGCUAGCGCUGUUCGGAAUCACUGGGCGUAAAGCGCACGUAGGCGGAUUUUUAAGUCAGGGGUGAAAUCCCGAGGCUCAACCUCGGAACGGCCUUUGAUACUGGGAGUCUAGAGUCCGGGAGAGGUGAGUGGAACUGCGAGUGUAGAGGUGAAAUUCGUAGAUAUUCGCAAGAACACCAGUGGCGAAGGCGGCUCACUGGCCCGGAACUGACGCUGAGGUGCGAAAGCGUGGGGAGCAAACAGGAUUAGAUACCCCAGUAGUC